UGAAUUAAAUGUCUGCUGACAUCUGCCAGGCUUGUCUUUGAAUUUCCUUAAGUGCCAGAGCGAGGAUACGGUGCUGGGUAGUGCACUGCCGUGCGCUAUAUUUAGAAAGCAGUUGGAAGAGAAAAUGUCCUCAGGAAUCCGGACUGUUUUGUUGGAAAUGUCCCUCCGGUCCCGGCGGUGUGCACGUAAACGCUGGUUCUAGAGACGUG
RNAcentral lists this long non-coding RNA (209 nucleotides) under Parus major (Great Tit). Its description in RNAcentral is "lncRNA (ENSPMJG00000019402.1)". The record is from RNAcentral. Lineage: Eukaryota; Metazoa; Chordata; Aves; Passeriformes; Paridae.